GAUGAACGCUGGCGGCGUGCCUAAUACAUGCAAGUCGAGCGAACAGACGAGGAGCUUGCUCCUCUUACGUUAGCGGCGGACGGGUGAGUAACACGUGGAUAACCUACCUAUAAGACUGGGAUAACUUCGGGAAACCUGAGCUAAUACCGGAUAAUAUAUUGAACCGCAUGGUUCAAUAGUGAAAGACGGUUUUGCUGUCACUUGUACAUGGAUCCGCGCCGCAUUAGCUAGUUGGUAAGGUAACGGCUUACCAAGGCAACGAUGCGUAGCCGACCUGAGAGGGUGAUCGGCCACACUGGAACUGAGACACGGUCCAGACUCCUACGGGAGGCAGCAGUAGGGAAUCUUCCGCAAUGGGCGAAAGCCUGACGGAGCAACGCCGCGUGAGUGAUGAAGGUCUUCGGAUCGUAAAACUCUGUUAUUAGGGAAGAACAAAUGUGUAAGUAACUAUGCACGUCUUGACGGUACCUAAUCAGAAAGCCACGGCUAACUACGUG
RNAcentral lists this ribosomal RNA (497 nucleotides) under uncultured bacterium. RNAcentral describes it as "partial 16S ribosomal RNA". It matches the Rfam family "Bacterial small subunit ribosomal RNA", at positions 28 to 507 of the family's 1533-position model. The record is from RNAcentral.